AUUACCUGGGGAUCUUGUUAAAAUGCAGAUAUUGAUUCAGUAAGACUGCUUUGGAGUCCGGGAUUCUCCAUUUCUAACAAGUUCCCAGGUGAUUCCAC
RNAcentral lists this microRNA precursor (98 nucleotides) under Loxodonta africana (African savanna elephant). RNAcentral's name for it is "mir-544 microRNA precursor family". It matches the Rfam family "mir-544 microRNA precursor family". The record is from Rfam by way of RNAcentral. Lineage: Eukaryota; Metazoa; Chordata; Mammalia; Proboscidea; Elephantidae.